Molecule: ribosomal RNA, 475 nt
Filed under: uncultured bacterium
Lineage: Bacteria
Description: partial 16S ribosomal RNA
Rfam family: Bacterial small subunit ribosomal RNA
Source: RNAcentral
UGGGGAAUUUUGGACAAUGGGCGAAAGCCUGAUCCAGCAAUGCCGCGUGUGUGAAGAAGGCCUUCGGGUUGUAAAGCACUUUUGUCCGGAAAGAAAUGGCUCUGGUUAAUACCUGGGGUCGAUGACGGUACCGGAAGAAUAAGGACCGGCUAACUACGUGCCAGCAGCCGCGGUAAUACGUAGGGUCCAAGCGUUAAUCGGAAUUACUGGGCGUAAAGCGUGCGCAGGCGGUUGUGCAAGACCGAUGUGAAAUCCCCGAGCUUAACUUGGGAAUUGCAUUGGUGACUGCACGGCUAGAGUGUGUCAGAGGGGGGUAGAAUUCCACGUGUAGCAGUGAAUGCGUAGAGAUGUGGAGGAAUACCGAUGGCGAAGGCAGCCCCCUGGGAUAACACUGACGCUCAUGGCACGAAAGCGUGGGGAGCAAACAGGAUUAGAUACCCUGGUAGUCCACGCCCUAAACGAUGUCAACUAGUUG